This 258-nucleotide ribosomal RNA is filed under the name uncultured prokaryote. RNAcentral's name for it is "partial 16S ribosomal RNA". It matches the Rfam family "Bacterial small subunit ribosomal RNA", at positions 524 to 776 of the family's 1533-position model. The record is from RNAcentral.
AACGGGGGGAACUAGUGUUAUUCGCAUUGACUGGGCGUAAAGGGCGCGUAGAUGGUUUAAUAAGUUUUGUUGAAGAGCAUACGGCUAAACCGGUUGGGGCAACAAAAAUACUGUUAGGCUUGAAUAGAGUGGAGGUUAGUGGUAUUUAACGUAGACUUGGGGUGAAAUCCGUACACACGUUGGAGACUACCAGCUUGCGGAGGCGACUAUUCCACAACCUAUUGACGUUGAGGCGCAAAAGCGUAGGGAGCAAACAGG